GAGACUCUGUGCGCGUGCAUAUCAAUAAGCGGAGGAAAAGAAACUAACAAGGAUUCCCUUAGUAACGGCGAGUGAAGCGGGAAGAGCUCAAAUUUGAAAUCUUCAAGGUUCUACCUUGACGAAUUGUAGUUUAUAGAAGUGUUUUCUGUUAGUGGAGUGGCAAAAGUUCUUUGGAAUAGGACAUCAUAGAGGGUGAGAAUCCCGUAUUUGGUCAUUCCUCCUAGCGUUGUGAUACACUUUCAACGAGUCGGAUUGUUUGGGAAUGCAGUCCAAAAUGGGUGGUAAAUUUCAUCUAAAGCUAAAUAUUGGCGAGAGACCGAUAGCGAACAAGUACCGUGAGGGAAAGAUGAAAAGAACUUUGAAAAGAGAGUUAAACAGUACGUGAAAUUGUCAAAAGGGAAGCGUUUGACACCAGUGUUGUUUUUCCGAAAAUCAAUUACGAAUGUUUUGUUUUUGAGGAGUUAUGACUUCAUCGGCUUGCUCCUUUCUUUACGAAACUUUCUUAAUGCACUUUUCGGUUAACAAGUCAACAUCAAUUUCUUUUGUUGUAAAAGGGUAUGAGGAAGGUGGCUUUCUUUUCGGAGAAAGUGUUUAUAGCCUUGUACCUCUAGCAAUCGGAGAGAUUGAGGUCUGCAGCGUAGAUCCUUCGGGGUUAGAUACAGUUUGUGCUAAGCUAUAGCCUUGUAUAGACAACUUGUUGACUAUGCUCAGUCAUGUAGCUUACUCGCUUAUGCUAUUUUACCUACGCUUAGGAUGUUGAUCUGUAGUGCGUGCGC
Molecule: ribosomal RNA, 776 nt
Filed under: uncultured Neocallimastigales
Lineage: Eukaryota; Fungi; Neocallimastigomycota; Neocallimastigomycetes; Neocallimastigales
Description: partial large subunit ribosomal RNA
Rfam family: Eukaryotic large subunit ribosomal RNA
Source: RNAcentral